UCAAUGCUCGAAAGAGUGAACUAGCUAACUGAAAUCUGUCUAUUGCUUUCCGGAGCAAGUCCUCUUAAGAGGUAGUACCCACAGAUAAGGUUAGAGAAUAAUAAUGAUAUUACCUAACUAGAGUGUUGUCAAAAAUUGGUGCCAGAAGACUCGGUAAGGCCAAAAACGCGAACGUUAAUCAUCUUAAACAGGCGUAAAGGGUUUGUAGGCGGCUUUAAACACUUUAACUAAGAUACAACAGAAUAAAUCUUGAAACCCUAUAAAACUUUUAUAGGUUUUGGUUUUCUGUAUUUUUAACCACAGAUCUGCCAGCAGACCUAAAUUAUAUAAAACUGUAUCUGAAAGUAUUUUUCUUUAUUUUAUGUUUAACUAUUAAUCUAAAGAAAAGGUUAAAGUACAAAUUAAAGCUAGAAUCAGGUAGAGGAUAUAAUAAUGAUAUAAUGCUUAAUGGAGGGGUUCUAUCUUUAGAUAUUAAGUGGAAUAUUAAUGGCGAAAGCUUUUUUUCUAAUACCGAAUUAGUGACGCUGAGAAACAAAAGGGAGGAUAGGAAAAAGGAUUAGAUACCCAAGUACCCCUCUCUGUGACCGAUGAAUGGUAAUUUUUAGUAUAGUUUUAAAAUAAUAACUAAUAUUAGUUUUAAUGUUAACACGUUAACCAUUCCGCCUUGUGAGUACGAUUGCAAAAUUGAAAACAAAAAAAUUAGUCAGUUUCGGAGCAAACGAAGUGAAGCAU
Molecule: ribosomal RNA, 732 nt
Filed under: Vararia subtropica
Lineage: Eukaryota; Fungi; Basidiomycota; Agaricomycetes; Russulales; Lachnocladiaceae
Description: Vararia sp. ZYC-2022c partial small subunit ribosomal RNA
Rfam family: Bacterial small subunit ribosomal RNA
Source: RNAcentral